UGCAGUCGAGGGGUAUUGGUUUUCGGACCAAGAGACCGGCGCACGGGUGCGUAACGCGUAUGCAAUCUACCUUUCACAGAGGGAUAGCCCAGAGAAAUUUGGAUUAAUACCUCAUAGUAUUACGGAAUGGCAUCAUUUUGUAAUUAAAGUCACAACGGUGAAAGAUGAGCAUGCGUCCCAUUAGCUAGUUGGUAAGGUAACGGCUUACCAAGGCUACGAUGGGUAGGGGUCCUGAGAGGGAGAUCCCCCACACUGGUACUGAGACACGGACCAGACUCCUACGGGAGGCAGCAGUGAGGAAUAUUGGACAAUGGGCGCAAGCCUGAUCCAGCCAUGCCGCGUGCAGGAUGACGGUCCUAUGGAUUGUAAACUGCUUUUGUACGAGAAGAAACACUCCUUCGUGAAGGAGCUUGACGGUAUCGUAAGAAUAAGGAUCGGCUAACUCCGUGCCAGCAGCCGCGGUAAUACGGAGGAUCCAGGCGUUAUCCGGAAUCAUUGGGUUUAAAGGGUCCGUAGGCGGUUUAGUAAGUCAGUGGUGAAAGCCCAUCGCUCAACGGUGGAACGGCCAUUGAUACUGCUAGACUUGAAUUAUUAGGAAGUAACUAGAAUAUGUAGUGUAGCGGUGAAAUGCUUAGAGAUUACAUGGAAUACCAAUUGCGAAGGCAGGUUACUACUAAUGGAUUGACGCUGAUGGACGAAAGCGUGGGUAGCGAACAGGAUUAGAUACCCUGGUAGUCCACGCCGUANACGAUGGAUACUAGCUGUUGGGAGCGAUCUCAGUGGCUAAGCGAAAGUGAUAAGUAUCCCACCUGGGGAGUACGUUCGCAAGAAUGAGACUCAAAGGAAUUGACGGGGGCCCGCACAAGCGGUGGAGCAUGUGGU
RNAcentral lists this ribosomal RNA (882 nucleotides) under uncultured bacterium. RNAcentral's name for it is "bacterial SSU rRNA". It matches the Rfam family "Bacterial small subunit ribosomal RNA", at positions 56 to 945 of the family's 1533-position model. The record is from RNAcentral.